RNAcentral lists this ribosomal RNA (467 nucleotides) under uncultured bacterium. Its description in RNAcentral is "bacterial SSU rRNA". It matches the Rfam family "Bacterial small subunit ribosomal RNA", at positions 355 to 825 of the family's 1533-position model. The record is from RNAcentral.
UAAGGAAUAUUGGUCAAUGGAGGCAACUCUGAACCAGCCAUGCCGCGUGCAGGAAGAAGGCCCUAUGGGUCGUAAACUGCUUUUGAACAAGAGAAAACCCCGGUACGUGUACUGGGUUGAUAGUAUUGUUAGAAUAAGCAUCGGCUAACUUCGUGCCAGCAGCCGCGGUAAGACGAAGGAUGCAAGCGUUAUCCGGAUUCAUUGGGUUUAAAGGGUGCGUAGGCGGACUGAUAAGUCAGUGGUGAAAUCUCUCGGCUUAACCGAGAAACUGCCAUUGAUACUGUUAGUCUAGAGUACAGAUGAUGUGGGCGGAAUAUGACAUGUAGUGGUGAAAUACUUAGAUAUGUCAUAGAACACCGAUUGCGAAGGCAGCUCACAAAACUGUAACUGACGCUGAGGCACGAAAGUGCGGGGAUCAAACAGGAUUAGAUACCCCCGUAGUCCCUGAGCGGGCUGGCAAGGCGCAU